GGGGCACAUCGCGACUGGCGCGCGUGGAAGAGACCACGAGGGAGCGGUGUGCGGCAACCGCCACGAGGUGCCGCCCGCCUGGGCACCCCUG
RNAcentral lists this non-coding RNA (91 nucleotides) under Streptomyces varsoviensis. RNAcentral's name for it is "ZTP sequence". It matches the Rfam family "ZMP/ZTP riboswitch aptamer (pfl RNA motif)". From Rfam's summary of the family: Previously known as pfl RNA. ZMP is also known as AICAR. The record is from RNAcentral. Lineage: Bacteria; Bacillati; Actinomycetota; Actinomycetes; Kitasatosporales; Streptomycetaceae.